ACUGGAAUGAAUGAGCUAAUUAGGGGUAAACUUUUUUAUUAAAAUUUAUAAAAUUUUAUUAUCAAGUAAAAAGGCUUGGUUAUUGUUAAGUGACAAGAAGACCCUAAGAGUUUCACUAUUUUAUAUUUUGGUGAGUCUUAUGUGUUUGUUAGAGGGCUAGGGUAUAAAUUGGUUUAGCUGGGGCGGUUGGAAUAUUAUCAAUUUUGUUAAUUACUGAAAUGACAGAAUUAUAUGGUCGUGUAUCCUUUGUUGGAAUGCAAUAUAAAUUACCUUAGGGAUAACAGCAUAAUCUUUUUUGAGAGAUCUUAUUGACAGAAAGGUUUGUGACCUCGAUGUUGGAUUUGAAUAACUUUUAGGAGCAGCAUUUAUAAAAGUUGGUCUGUUCGACCAUUAAAUUUCAA
Molecule: ribosomal RNA, 401 nt
Filed under: Skogsbergia sp. MTLB-2013
Lineage: Eukaryota; Metazoa; Arthropoda; Ostracoda; Myodocopida; Cypridinidae
Description: partial 16S ribosomal RNA
Rfam family: Bacterial large subunit ribosomal RNA (bases 62-401)
Source: RNAcentral